This 560-nucleotide ribosomal RNA is filed under the name uncultured soil bacterium. RNAcentral's name for it is "bacterial SSU rRNA". It matches the Rfam family "Bacterial small subunit ribosomal RNA", at positions 35 to 643 of the family's 1533-position model. The record is from RNAcentral.
GCUGGCGGCAGGCCUAACACAUGCAAGUCGAGCGCCCCGCAAGGGGAGCGGCAGACGGGAGAGUAACACGUGGGAACGUACCCUUUGGUUCGGAACAACCCAGGGAAACUUGGGCUAAUACCGGAUAAGCCCUUACGGGGAAAGAUUUAUCGCCGAAGGAUCGGCCCGCGUCUGAUUAGCUAGUUGGUGGGGUAAUGGCCCACCAAGGCUACGAUCAGUAGCUGGUCUGAGAGGAUGAUCAGCCUCACUGGGACUGAGACACGGCCCAGACUCCUACGGGAGGCAGCAGUGGGGAAUAUUGGACAAUGGGCGCAAGCCUGAUCCAGCCAUGCCGCGUGGGUGAUGAAGGCCCUAGGGUUGUAAAGCCCUUUCGGCGGGGAAGAUAAUGACGGUACCCGCAGAAGAAGCCCCGGCUAACUUCGUGCCAGCAGCCGCGGUAAUACGAUGGGGGCUAGCGUUGCUCGGAAUCACUGGGCGUAAAGCGCACGUAGGCGGAUUGCUAAGUCAGGGGUGAAAUCCUGGAGCUCAACUCCAGAACUGCCCUUGAUACUGGCGACCUC